RNAcentral lists this ribosomal RNA (463 nucleotides) under uncultured bacterium. RNAcentral's name for it is "partial 16S ribosomal RNA". It matches the Rfam family "Bacterial small subunit ribosomal RNA", at positions 28 to 507 of the family's 1533-position model. The record is from RNAcentral.
GACGAACGCUGGCGGCGUGCUUAACACAUGCAAGUCGAGCGGAAAGGCCACUGCGGUGUUACUUGAGCGGCGUACGGGCGGGUAACACGCGCGUAGUUUACCCCCCACUUUGGGGGAGCUACCGGAAACGGUGAUUAACACCGGCGAUGAAAAUAUGUAGCAUGGCGUGUGUUGGAAAGAGGUUUGGAUAGGGAUGUGCUCGAGGCCUAUCAGCUUGAUGGUGAGGUAAUGGCUCACCAUGGCUUCGACGGGUAGCCGGCCUGAGAGGGUGACCGGUCACACAGGGACUGAGACACGGCCCAGACUCCUCCGGGAGGCAGCAGUGGGAGAUAUAGGACAAUGGGCGGAAGCCUGAACGAGCGUCGCCGCGUGGGGGAUGACGGCCUUCGGGUUGUAACCCUCGUUCGGUAGCGACGAAGCGCAAGUGACGGUAGGUACAGAAGAAGCACCGGCUAACUACGUG